GACGAGCCACACAAACGUUAUUCGGAAUUACUGGGCUUAAAGGGUGCGUAGGCGGCGCGGAAAGUUGGGUGUGAAAUCCCUCGGCUCAACCGAGGAAUGGCGCUCAAAACUACCGUGCUCGAGGGAGAUAGAGGAGUGCGGAACUUACGGUGGAGCGGUGAAAUGCGUUGAUAUCGUAGGGAACACCGGUGGCGAAAGCGGCACUCUGGAUCUCUUCUGACGCUGAUGCACGAAAGCUAGGGUGGCGAACGGG
RNAcentral lists this ribosomal RNA (253 nucleotides) under uncultured bacterium. RNAcentral describes it as "partial 16S ribosomal RNA". It matches the Rfam family "Bacterial small subunit ribosomal RNA", at positions 524 to 776 of the family's 1533-position model. The record is from RNAcentral.